GCCUGGGUGGCUGAGUCGGUUAAGCGUCUGACUCUGGCUCAGGUCAUGAUCUCGCGGUUCGUGAGUUCGAGCCCCGCGCCGGGCU
This 85-nucleotide transfer RNA is filed under the name Felis catus (domestic cat). It matches the Rfam family "tRNA". Rfam says of the family: Transfer RNA (tRNA) molecules are approximately 80 nucleotides in length. The record is from Rfam by way of RNAcentral. RNAcentral also lists the same sequence under 2 other names. Lineage: Eukaryota; Metazoa; Chordata; Mammalia; Carnivora; Felidae.